CCCUUAGAUGUUCUGGGCUGCACGCGCGCUACACUGAUGCACUCAACGAGUUUUCGACCUUGUCCGAGAGGAUUGGGUAACCUUUUUAAAAUGCAUCGUGAUGGGGAUAGAUUAUUGCAAUUAUUAAUCUUCAACGAGGAAUUCCUAGUAAGCGCGAGUCAUCAGCUCGUGCUGAUUACGUCCCUGCCCUUUGUACACACCGCCCGUCGCUCCUACCGAUUGAGUGCUCAGGUGAAUAAUUCGGACUGCUGCAGUGUUCGGUCACGAACGUUGCAGCGGAAAGUUUAGUGAACCUUAUCACUUAGAGGAAGGAGAAGUCGUAACA
RNAcentral lists this ribosomal RNA (325 nucleotides) under uncultured eukaryote. Its description in RNAcentral is "partial 18S ribosomal RNA". It matches the Rfam family "Eukaryotic small subunit ribosomal RNA", at positions 1470 to 1796 of the family's 1831-position model. The record is from RNAcentral.